GGUAAACUAGCAGGAAGAGCUCAAGGCAAGGACUCUGUGCCUGACCACGGGAGGAGGCGCGUGCCUCAAAAAUCCUUGAUUGUUCCAAAAGGAACAAUCCCAAACCACCCGUUUCUCCCUCAGACUGAGGAAAGAAAAACGCAAUAAUUACAUCGGGUUGACUUUGUGGUUGCGGCACAUCUGCUCUUUAUGGAGACAAACUGCUGAUGUGGAGGAUCGCUGUGCUUUUCCUGUUAGCUUAAUGAAGCACAUAUUUUCGCUCUGCAUGUCCCAGAUUUUUUUUCCUGCUGUCAACAUUUGAUGUGAACUAUGUGGCCUGUGCACCAGAACAUUCUUCCUGUUUUGUUGCUGAUUCACGAGUUCUAGAAUGACGAAUCGAGCGUACCUAGAUGUCAGUUUCUUUGUGCUCAGUGGAGAUGAGGAUCACGGAAGUAAUCCUGGCAACCUUGCUGGCCACAGUAAGCAUCGCCCAUACCAUCCUUGUUUUGGAGGAAAGCGUAGCUGCUCAAGAGUCCACGCUAUGAAAACAGCGCCUCCACCCAUCAAACGUUAAGAACCGUUAGCGCCGGAGGCUGUGGCCUUAAAACAGAGACCAUGGAAAAAAGAAUCCAGGCCUCGCAACGGUGAGAUGAGAGCCAGCAGAGACUCAGUGAGGGUCACGCUGGGGGAGGGUGGUGACAAGAUGGGAGCUGGAACGCCUGAGCAGUAUUUUAAUUCAUUUGUCAUCAUCCAGAAAUUAACAAGAAGCCCCAAAAGUUGUAUUGGAGGAGCCCUGAAAGAAACUUACUUCAUUUA
This is a long non-coding RNA of Meriones unguiculatus (Mongolian gerbil), 795 nucleotides long. RefSeq lists it as uncharacterized. NCBI's taxonomy places the organism in Eukaryota, Metazoa, Chordata, Mammalia, Rodentia, Muridae. The record is from RefSeq and is a predicted model, not a curated record. The transcript is spliced from 3 exons.